UGGAGUUCCUGAGGCGCUGCCGCCUCCAGGUGGGGAUGAAGAACAACGUGAGCUGGGAGCUCAACCCCGACAUUGUGGCCCGGCACUUCCUCAAAAACGUGAACGGCCUGGACACCGUGCGGGUUCCCAUGGACGUGGUUCAGUUCCUGCACCCCAAAACCAAACGCUUCCGCCAUUGGCAGCAGCAGCAGCAGCAGCAGCUGGAGAGCAGCAGGGAGAGGCUCCUCUGACCCCCCCUGAAGAUUUGGGGGUCCCCGGGGUGGAUUUGGGGGUCCCCGGGGUGGAUUUGGGGUCCCCAGAAUGGAUUUGGGGGUCCCUGGGAUGGAUUUGGGGUCCCCAGGGUGAAUUUGGGGUCCCCAGAAUGGAUUUAGGGGUUCCCCCCUUUUUUGGGAACCUGUGGGAUUUCCCAAAGGAAUCCACCAUAAAAGGGGAUCAGGAAUUUUUUUGGGACAUCCCAAAAUUUUUUUUUGGGGGGGGGGAUCCCAAAGUUUUUUGGGGUCUCAGAGAUUUUGGGGGGGGAUCUGGGAAUUUUGGGGA
RNAcentral lists this long non-coding RNA (537 nucleotides) under Zonotrichia albicollis (white-throated sparrow). Its description in RNAcentral is "lncRNA (ENSZALG00000000911.1)". The record is from RNAcentral. Lineage: Eukaryota; Metazoa; Chordata; Aves; Passeriformes; Passerellidae.